This 755-nucleotide long non-coding RNA is filed under the name Nicotiana benthamiana. RNAcentral describes it as "long non-coding RNA (NBEN_LNC037540)". Lineage: Eukaryota; Viridiplantae; Streptophyta; Magnoliopsida; Solanales; Solanaceae. The record is from RNAcentral.
UUAGAGAGCUCAAAUUAGAAACACAUAAACAUGGAUAAGAUGAGAAACAUAUAGACCAACAAAUAUAAAGAACAAGUAGGAGCUGAUUGAUAUCCAGAAAACAGGACUACUAUUUCAAAUUGUUAGCAAGGGGAUCAUGCUCGAAAAUUAAAAUAGUAAUAGACAGUAAGACAUAAAGACAUCGUAGGGGAAUAGUCAUGCUGAGGAUAGGGGUCUAUUACACAGAAUUAGUCAUGCUGCUUAGUCUUAAUCGAGUACAUAAAGAGUCUAUGAUACUAACAUGAGCAUAUUAGUUGAGGGAAAUAAACAAAAACUCAAGUAAACAUGUUGGUCAAGUAUCAUACAAGACAAGUGAGACCCAUACAUGCUAAUUACACACUUGAACAAGAAAGGGAAAAACUUAAGCAUAUUGAAAUAAGCAGUAAACAAGAAGGCAAUUAAAUGCAUAAGCUAUUAAACUAGUGCAGGACGAUACAUGGAUUAACAGACAUGGAGCACAUAGAGUUGAGUUUCAAAAUUGAACUAGGAACAUACCCGCUAAGAAAGCAAAGUGCAGAAAGUAAAGCAAGUAGAAUUCCACGGUCUAGCAAAGCAAGUAGAAUUCCACAGUCUAGCCUUGGCUUUCAGCCGGCUAGACAAGAAGUUAGCACAAGUAGCAGAGAAAUAAGAGAGUUUGAGCGUGUAUGUGUGUAUUCUAAACUAUUGUUCGUGUGUGUAAUGAAAAGAGAGGAGAGUAUAUAUAAUAGUUUGAAAGC